RNAcentral lists this ribosomal RNA (369 nucleotides) under uncultured organism. RNAcentral describes it as "bacterial SSU rRNA". It matches the Rfam family "Bacterial small subunit ribosomal RNA", at positions 526 to 896 of the family's 1533-position model. The record is from RNAcentral.
CGAAGGAUGCAAGCGUUAUCCGGAUUCAUUGGGUUUAAAGGGUGCGUAGGCGGACUGAUAAGUCAGUGGUGAAAUCUCUCAGCUUAACUGAGAAACUGCCAUUGAUACUGUUAGUCUAGAGUAUAGAUGACGUUGGCGGAAUAUGACAUGUAGUGGUGAAAUACUUAGAUAUGUCUUAGAACACCGAUUGCGAAGGCAGCUAACGAAACUAUAACUGACGCUGAGGCACGAAAGUGCGGGGAUCAAACAGGAUUAGAUACCCUGGUAGUCCGCACCGUAAACGAUGAUUACUCGUUGUUGGCGAUAUGACAGUCAGCGACCAAGCGAAAGCGAUAAGUAAUCCACCUGGGGAGUACGCCGGCAACGGUG